This 71-nucleotide transfer RNA is filed under the name Algoriphagus marincola. It matches the Rfam family "tRNA". From Rfam's summary of the family: Transfer RNA (tRNA) molecules are approximately 80 nucleotides in length. Their secondary structure includes four short double-helical elements and three loops (D, anti-codon, and T loops). RNAcentral also lists the same sequence under 3 other names. The record is from RNAcentral. Lineage: Bacteria; Pseudomonadati; Bacteroidota; Cytophagia; Cytophagales; Cyclobacteriaceae.
GUGAUGUAGCUCAGCUGGUAGAGCAUCGGACUGAAAAUCCGUGAGUCGGUGGUUCGAGUCCACUCAUCACC